This 279-nucleotide ribosomal RNA is filed under the name uncultured bacterium. RNAcentral describes it as "partial 16S ribosomal RNA". It matches the Rfam family "Bacterial small subunit ribosomal RNA", at positions 506 to 784 of the family's 1533-position model. The record is from RNAcentral.
UGCCAGCCGCCGCGGUAAUACGGAGGUCCCAAGCGUUGUUCGGAAUCACUGGGCGUAAAGCGUUCGUAGGUGGUUGAAAAAGUUAGUGGUGAAAUCCCAGAGCUUAACUCUGGAACUGCCAUUAAAACUUUUCAGCUAGAGUAUGAUAGAGGGAAGCAGAAUUUCUAGUGUAGAGGUGAAAUUCGUAGAUAUUAGAAAGAAUACCAAUUGCGAAGGCAGCUUUCUGGAUCAUUACUGACACUGAGGAACGAAAGCAUGGGUAGCGAAGAGGAUUAGAUA